CCUCCGAUGGUACACACUGUCAUUAUUGGGGCUGCUGUGAGUGGAGCGCAGCAGGAGGAGGUGGAGUGCCAGGCAGGCACUUUGUCCAGGCGUUCUCAAGCGCCCAGGUCCUCCUGUUGCUCCUUGCGCAACUUCCUCCGGAGCUUACCCACCCUGAUCACCUGCCCCUCCAGCUGCUGGUUUGGUGAGAAUGUGGGUCACAGCUGCAGC
Molecule: non-coding RNA, 210 nt
Organism: Chlorocebus sabaeus (green monkey)
Lineage: Eukaryota; Metazoa; Chordata; Mammalia; Primates; Cercopithecidae
Source: RefSeq, a predicted model, not a curated record